GAAUUGGAAGCCGAAGACCCGUGCGAAGGUCUUCGACAUACAGCGCCAGAUCGUCGGGCGGAGGGCUGUUAACCCGACCGUCGGCCCCUGGAGCGGAGAGCCGAAACUGCUCCGGGAUGCGAUAUUGCUCCCGAAGCCGAUCGACAUUCGGCCCCGAAAGCGAGGAGGCCUCAUCUUCUGGAGCCGAUCGGGAGUCGUCGGUCGGGUUCCCCGACCGAGCUCCCUGAGUCGGAUUCCUGGUCAUUGCACCGGAACCGAAUGAAGAAGAAGAAGAAAGAGAAGAAGAGGAAGAAGAAGAAGANNN
Molecule: long non-coding RNA, 304 nt
Filed under: Elaeis guineensis (African oil palm)
Lineage: Eukaryota; Viridiplantae; Streptophyta; Magnoliopsida; Arecales; Arecaceae
Description: long non-coding RNA (EGUI_LNC023808)
Source: RNAcentral